CUCUCUCACACACACACAUAAAAUGGCAAGUGCAUAGCCAGGAACAUAUAAAAAUGGAUGUUCCAGUGACAUUCAUACACUGUCAGCUUGCUUACUGAGUAACUAAAGAAAUCUAAAGAGGGAAAAAAAAAAAAUAAUAAUUCAUUUUUGGAAACUAUAAAAUGCAAAUUCUGCUCAUUGUUAUUUUCUGUCACCUGCAAGUUUCCCAUUAACAAAAACAUGAAG
RNAcentral lists this unclassified non-coding RNA (225 nucleotides) under Hevea brasiliensis (rubber tree). Lineage: Eukaryota; Viridiplantae; Streptophyta; Magnoliopsida; Malpighiales; Euphorbiaceae. The record is from RNAcentral.